UUCUCCCAUUGAAAACGACACAGAUGAACUAUCUCGGGUUAGUUACAAAUAUCUUUGACUUAACUGUCUUCCUCCUCUGUUGUCUAUAGUUGCUCCACAGAUCCUGCCCUCCUCUAGCUGCAUCAGAACUGCAGAUCAGAUCGACUGUACCUAUGAGAGUCAUGGGAACCCCUCUGCCAAAGUGGAGGGGCGAUUGUCUGGAACGCCUGUCAAUCAGUUUACUAACAUUGUCAUCAGGGAGCCAAUGGGCAGCACAGGCCUGAGAAGCUCCCUUACCACCCAUCAAUCACAGGAGGAAGACACGCCCACUCUGGUCUGCCUCAGAACCAGCUCUGUAGGAUCUCAUUCACAAGAGGUUUGGACACCAUAAUUGACUACAAUGAUGAUCUUGAUAACCUUGAUAAUAACUUUUGCAAGUCUAUCGAUUAAAGCUUUUUCUGUUCACCCCUAGGUCAACUUGACAAUCUUCAUCACUGCAAUAUUUGUUUCGACAUUAAUGACAGCACUGAUAUGUGCUUUACUGUUUCUCCUAAGGGUUUGGGAUCCUUGUUUUACAGUACUCAGAGGUCAAUACAAAUAUUAUGACUGUGAUGUGGUGAUGAACCUAGUUCCGACCAGUAGUGAGAGGACACAGGAUCCUCCUGUGCCAGAAGAAGACAUAUACGCCAACAGCAUGAUUCCAUGUCAGGCCAGGAGACAGGGACGCAAAACAAGACCUAGAGGCCCCCAAUCCGGGUCCCAAACCCCUGCCUUCCGCCAAAGCCAUCUCUGAGACAGACCGAACCAGCCUGCCCAGUCCAAUCGCUGACACUGCUACAGUUCCAGGAGAAGUCACUGCAAAGAAGGAUGGAGAUGGUGUGUUGUAUUCCAGUGUGAUUUGGGAGAAGAAGAAGUGGAUGAAGAAGGAGAACGAGCGGUCCGUGGACAGGGGAAAGGAGGCGUCUAGCGGUUCCUACCUGCAGGAAGAGAGGUGUGUGCUGGGAAAUGUAGGCAGACAGAAUGAGAAAGGUACUGGAGGUGGAUAACCUGCGGUUUCUCAAGUUUUUCAUGAAUUUACUGUAGGCC
Long non-coding RNA from Oncorhynchus tshawytscha (Chinook salmon), 1065 nucleotides. The record is from Ensembl. Lineage: Eukaryota; Metazoa; Chordata; Actinopteri; Salmoniformes; Salmonidae.